CGUAGGGGCGAGCGUUGUCCGGAAUUAUUGGGCGUAAAGAGCUCGUAGGCGGCUCAGCAAGUCGGCUGUGAAAUCCCGAGGCUCAACCUCGGAACUGCAGUCGAUACUGCUGUGGCUAGAGUCUGGUAGAGGAGAGUGGAAUUCCCGGUGUAGCGGUGAAAUGCGCAGAUAUCGGGAGGAACACCAGUAGCGAAGGCGGCUCUCUGGGCCAGUACUGACGCUGAGGAGCGAAAGCGUGGGAGCAAACAGGAUU
This 253-nucleotide ribosomal RNA is filed under the name uncultured bacterium. RNAcentral's name for it is "partial 16S ribosomal RNA". It matches the Rfam family "Bacterial small subunit ribosomal RNA", at positions 526 to 779 of the family's 1533-position model. The record is from RNAcentral.